UGAGUAGGAGUUUGCCAGGUGAUCAACAUAUGGACUUGGCUGGCUCAAAGUGCCAAGGAGGCCUUUCUCAAAGGUUUCACAGAGCUGUCCCACCACCUGGAACUCACUUGCUCAAGAGGCUGAGAAGGCUGGGGUCUGUCUCUUUUAUUUCUGUAUCUCCCAUAGGAGGGGGGGGGGGGAGUGGGUGGGGAGGGUAAUUCUCAGCGUCUGCCUCAAUUUCUCUAGAUGUGUGUUUCCCUACACUGUCCCUCCUGAAGGGCUACCUCCUUUAGCCCUUUUUCUUUUCUCUCAUUUCUGUGUCUCUGUGUUUCUCCAUUUUCCUCUCCAGGCAUCUUACCCCCUCCCCAGCGUUUCCUGCCCCCCCCCCCCCCCCGCCCCUGCACCGUGGCCUCCCAAGACCACCCGCUUUGUUUCCUGGCUUCCUGUGGGCGUCCUGAGUGUGUUUCUCUGAGUCCCUAUGAGCGUUCUGAGUUUUUGCGGCCUUUCUCGGAGCGUUGUGUCAGAAUGUGUUUCUCUUUUUCUCCGUGUAUUUUUCUCUGUGUGUUUCAGGAUAAGUUUUUGUCUCUUUCUCUGUCUUUGUGUAAGCGUGUGGGUAGGUCUCGGUUUCUUGGUGUGUGUGUGUGUGUGUGUGUGUGUGUGUGUGUGUGUGUCCUCCACCCUCUUCACCGCCAAGGGGCUCUAAAUCCACCAGGAUAAAACAGCCCCAAGCCUCCGCCUCCUUCCUUCCCCCUGCCGGGAACACCCGUCCCAACGCCCAGGUCGGAAGAAGGGACCCCCGGCCCGGCCCGGCGCGAGGCUCGCAGGGCUCCCAGGCGCGCAGCUCCCGCUUUGCCCAACUUGUGGGCGCCCGGGCUGCAGUGCGCGGGCUCCGCGGCCCCAACAAAGAUUUCCAGCUUCUCUGGGAAAUUCAGAAGAUCUCUCAAAACACAGCCCCUAUGGCAUGGGUAGGAAUGAUUCAAAGUUCUGAGUAGGACUCCUCUCUGUCUCCAACACGGGAGGUACAAGCAGUACCCUUCCUUCCAAUACGUCUACACGCAAGCGGGUUUUCUCAAAAAAGCUGGCCUGGAUUGUCCAUCAUGGAGUUGCUCCCCGGCCUCUCUCCUUCCUGGUUCAGAGCAGAUACCAGCGGCUGGAGAAGGUCACACAGCAAGAUGGGCUUUGCCAUUGGUUCGUGAUCACAGGCCGAACACAGGCACUCAUUGCUGGUGAGCCAUCUGUCCCCAGGGACCCAGGUCUCACUCUCCUGCUCCCUUAGACAACAGCUUCAUUUCAUCAACCCCCUCACAGCCCUCUUCCACUCUCACUGGCUUCCUUCUGAAAGAAAAGAUGCGGUGCCUUCUUCACCCUUUGAUCAUGAAAUCUCUAUACUUACCAGUGUUUUUAUUCAUUCUUUCCUCUUUUGCUUCUGCUCUGAAUCCUACCCCCUCCUUCUCAAGGUCCUGGAUCCUUUGCGUUUUUCUAUGUUCUUCUGACUUACUAUCUCAGCCCAUCCUGCAGAAUCCCCAUCAGCAAACGAUUGAGCUCAUCUUAAAUACCGCUGUCUGCAUACCAAGUGCCUCUGUCUACCCGCCCAUGUCUCUGUUCCCUCUCAGCACUAAAAUUCUCCUUAUGUCUCAAUGCCAUCCAAAAAGCUGUCUCUUCUGGCUACCUCCAUUCGUUCUUCUGCCUGCUCAGAUCUGCCUGAUGCCCUGCCUUGCUCCAGAGAGUUGACUUCUCAAGGUCACUAUGAUCUCCAUGUCGCCAAAUGCCCUGGAUGUCCAUGUCUCUUUUUGACAGCAGUCUCUAACCCUGGGGCUGAAGAUGGGAGAGAUGGUAAGUACAUGGUAUAAUGGGUGAAGCUGUGUCCUCCAAAAAGACAAUGGGUAAGUUCAAGUGGGAAGAAGCAUGCCUAAGAAAAAUUUUAAAGCCAUAAAAAAUAAGCAUUACAUACACAAGACAAAAUGCCUUUAUUUUUUUCCCACAAAUUAAGUCAGAGGCUAAAAGCACAGGACCCAGAGACCACCU
Molecule: long non-coding RNA, 2004 nt
Organism: Leopardus geoffroyi (Geoffroy's cat)
Lineage: Eukaryota; Metazoa; Chordata; Mammalia; Carnivora; Felidae
Exons: 5
Source: RefSeq, a predicted model, not a curated record